Molecule: non-coding RNA, 277 nt
Organism: Arachis ipaensis
Lineage: Eukaryota; Viridiplantae; Streptophyta; Magnoliopsida; Fabales; Fabaceae
Source: RefSeq, a predicted model, not a curated record
GAUCCCACUGUAUGGAAGUCAUCAGUGGCUAUUACAGGUAUAAAUAAUAAGAGAUGAAUAAUUGCAUUGUUGAAACUUAUUGUUUUGGUAAGUUUUAAACUAUUUGAAAUCACAUUAUGAUUCGCUGAAGUCCUUUUUAUUUCUCUCAAAUUUGUUUGUGCUGUGGAGAACAUGUUGUACAACAAGGACAUUAUUCGAAGUUCAAUGGGAUGCAGUAGCAUGUACUUGUAUAUACUCAUGAGAGUAUAGUUUAAGAUUUCCAAAAUCAACGACUAGA